CUUCUCACCGGCUGAAGGGAAAAGCCACUGUGCAGAAAAGCUCAAAUCAUCCAAGAAUUCCAACAAUGCUUUCCCUGCAUGAGCUACUGCCACCGCUGAU
Carassius auratus (goldfish) is the source of this 100-nucleotide long non-coding RNA. RefSeq lists it as uncharacterized. The record is from RefSeq and is a predicted model, not a curated record. The transcript is spliced from 3 exons. Lineage: Eukaryota; Metazoa; Chordata; Actinopteri; Cypriniformes; Cyprinidae.